This is a long non-coding RNA of Epinephelus moara (kelp grouper), 526 nucleotides long. RefSeq lists it as uncharacterized. Lineage: Eukaryota; Metazoa; Chordata; Actinopteri; Perciformes; Serranidae. The transcript is spliced from 4 exons. The record is from RefSeq and is a predicted model, not a curated record.
UCGGAAGUGGAUCCUACCACAAAGAAAAAGCCUGUACGUUCGGCUGAAGGUCUAUUAGCAAAGAAGGAAAGUGACCGACGGAGAAGGCAAACAAGGAUUUGUAUUGGCGUCGCUUUUCCUCGGUGGAGAGCCCUGAAGGAAGAAAUUGGGCUGAGGGCAGACACGGAUGUUGCCUUGCUGCUGCUGGAUGACAAUGGCGGUUUGCGGAGCCUCUCAAUAGUUCCCGGAAGUAAGCGGAGUUACAGCAGAAAAGACCGGCUGUGUUGUACUUUUAACGGGAGCACUGGGUGGUGGCGGAGCAGUGAUGCUGCAGGACCACUGUGUGAGAGAGGACGCUGCAGAUAAGUGCUGAGUCGACCUUGGUGAGACUUAAAACUUAACAAGCACAAGAACAACAGGGGGAUGCAAUGGAGCCUGAACUCACCCCGCAAUGAAACAACCCCCUUACCCUGAGUCUCAACUCUGUGGGUUUUGCAAGCCUUUCCCUGUUCCUUAUUUUUAAUAAACCAAACACUGAGCUUCCCAA